GAAAGGCUGAGCGAGGCCUGCAAGGACCCUCCCAGCUCUGAGCGCCUUCCAGGCAUGGAUCCGUGAAACCACAUCAACGAGAGGAGCAAGAGGCGGUAUUUGUUGAGCAUGGCCUGGGUGCGUUUCAGCAGCUGCGUGGAGACCGUCUCGAACUCCUCGUCCACUGCGGAGGAAGAGAAGAGGUCCAGAGGCAGAGGUUGGGGGCGGACAGGCAAAGCGAGGUACCUCACCGCCCCCCUCCACACAGCAGAUGAGAAAGCCGAGGCCUGGAGAGGUGCAGUGCCCUGACCCAAAGCACACACAGUGAGGAAGAGGCAGAGCUGAGAGUCAGAUGCCAGAGCCUGAAACUCAUCCUCCAUGCUAUACUGUCGCCGGCCACCGGGGGUCAGCAUGGCCCCGCGCUGCCUGGGACCCGACAGCAACCUUGGGGAGGGGUGGAGGGAGGUUGGUGGGUUGAUUGGCUGGGAGGUAAAAUCCUGUUCUGUCACCAGGCUUUGUACCCUAGCGCAUAUUACAGUGAAUUAUGCCUCUUUACUGUGUGACGGUCACCCCCACCAGACAUGCUGGUCCCCACCUAUGCUGAAGAUCAGAGGACCCCACACACGACAGGGGUAGGACUUGGUCUGUCUUGUAUUUCCAGAACCCAGCACUAAUCAACACUCUUGGUGGAAGGAUGGCAGAAGAGAGGGAGAGAACGCAUGCAAGCAUCCAACAUUUACCCAUCCCCCUCCCACCCAUGCCACCAAGGGCUGACUGCCCAGCCCUUUCUGAGGUGCUGAGGACGCAGCAGUGACCAAGCCACACCAAUCCCUCCGGCUUGAAGCUGGCAGCCCAGCGGUGCCACAUGAAUGCUCUUAACAGUCUCUUCGAAUCCUCACCCGUCAGCCUAUUAUCACUAUUACAACCCACUUUCCGGAGGGGGAAACUGAGGGUACGGGAGGGAAACAGCACUGCCUGAAGCCACAGGGCUAACAGGAGGUAGAGUGGGGAUUUGCACUAGGGCCUGCCUAAACCCUCUCCUAAAGAGUGGUCCCC
Molecule: long non-coding RNA, 1035 nt
Organism: Rhinolophus ferrumequinum (greater horseshoe bat)
Lineage: Eukaryota; Metazoa; Chordata; Mammalia; Chiroptera; Rhinolophidae
Exons: 3
Source: RefSeq, a predicted model, not a curated record